This 292-nucleotide ribosomal RNA is filed under the name uncultured bacterium. RNAcentral's name for it is "partial 16S ribosomal RNA". The record is from RNAcentral.
GGACUACUGGGGUAUCUAAUCCCGUUCGCUCCCCUAGCUUUCGCCCCUCAGCGUCAGAAGCCAUCCAGGACAUUGCCUUCGCCUUUGGUGUUCUUCCGGAUAUCUACGCAUUUCACCACUCCACCCGGGGUUCCAUGUCCCUCUCUGGCCCUCAAGUCCUGCCGUCUCGUCACCGCUCUCCCAGUUAAGCCGGGAGCUGUCACUGACGGCUGACAGGACCGCCUGCGGGCGCUUUACGCCCAGUAACUCCGGACAACGCUCGCCCCCUACGUAUUACCGCGGCGGCUGGCAC